AACGCUAGCUACAGGCUUAACACAUGCAAGUCGAGGGGCAGCAUUGGAGUAGCAAUACUUCAGAUGGCGACCGGCGCACGGGUGAGUAACACGUAUCCAACCUGCCGCUUACUCGGGGAUAGCCUUUCGAAAGAAAGAUUAAUACCCGAUGGUAUAAAGAGUUCGCAUGUUCUCUUUAUUAAAGAAUUUCGGUAAGCGAUGGGGAUGCGUUCCAUUAGAUUGUUGGCGGGGUAACGGCCCACCAAGUCUACGAUGGAUAGGGGUUCUGAGAGGAAGGUCCCCCACAUUGGAACUGAGACACGGUCCAAACUCCUACGGGAGGCAGCAGUGAGGAAUAUUGGUCAAUGGACGAGAGUCUGAACCAGCCAAGUAGCGUGAAGGAUGACUGCCCUAUGGGUUGUAAACUUCUUUUAUAAGGGAAUAAAGUGAGGGGCGUGUCCCUUUUUGUAUGUACCUUAUGAAUAAGGAUCGGCUAACUCCGUGCCAGCAGCCGCGGUAAUACGGAGGAUCCAAGCGUUAUCCGGAUUUAUUGGGUUUAAAGGGAGCGUAGGUUGACAUAUAAGUCAGCUGUGAAAGUUUACGGCUCAACCGUGAAAUUGCAGUUGAUACUGUAUGUCUUGAGUGUACAAGAGGUGGGCGGAAUUCGUGGUGUAGCGGUGAAAUGCUUAGAUAUCACGAAGAACUCCAAUUGCGAAGGCAGCUCACUGGGGUACAACUGACACUGAGGCUCGAAAGUGUGGGUAUCAAACAGGAUUAGAUACCCUGGUAGUCCACACAGUAAACGAUGAAUACUCGCUGUUGGCGAUACACAGUCAGCGGCCAAGCGAAAGCAUUAAGUAUUCCACCUGGGGAGUACGCCGGCAACGGUGAAACUCAAAGGAAUUGACGGGGGCCCGCACAAGCGAAGGAACAUGUGGUUUAAUUCGAUGAUACGCGAGGAACCUUACCCGGGCUUAAAUUGCAGCGGAAUGUAGUGGAAACAUUACAGCCUUCGGGCCGCUGUGAAGGUGCUGCAUGGUUGUCGUCAGCUCGUGCCGUGAGGUGUCGGCUUAAGUGC
RNAcentral lists this ribosomal RNA (1057 nucleotides) under uncultured Bacteroidales bacterium. RNAcentral describes it as "bacterial SSU rRNA". It matches the Rfam family "Bacterial small subunit ribosomal RNA", at positions 32 to 1087 of the family's 1533-position model. Lineage: Bacteria; Pseudomonadati; Bacteroidota; Bacteroidia; Bacteroidales. The record is from RNAcentral.